Molecule: ribosomal RNA, 239 nt
Filed under: uncultured bacterium
Lineage: Bacteria
Description: partial 16S ribosomal RNA
Rfam family: Bacterial small subunit ribosomal RNA
Source: RNAcentral
GAUCAUGGCUCAGGAUGAACGCUGGCGGCGUGCUUAACACAUGCAAGUCGAGCGAAACACUUAAGUUUGAUUCUUCGGAUGAAGACUUUUGUGACUGAGCGGCGGACGGGUGAGUAACGCGUGGGUAACCUGCCUCAUACAGGGGGAUAACAGUUAGAAAUGGCUGCUAAUACCGCAUAAGACCACGGUACUGCAUGGUACAGUGGUAAAAACUCCGGUGGUAUGAGAUGGACCCGCGU